AGCGAACGCUGGCGGCGUGCCUAACACAUGCCAGUCGAACGUGAAAAGGGAAACCUGAGUAAAGUGGCGUACGGGUGAGUAACGCGUAGGCAAUCUACCCCAGAAUCUGGAAUAACCUGCCGAAAGGCGGGCUAAUACUGGAUAGAGCGAGGGAACUCGUAAGAGAGUUUUUCGGGAAAGGGAGCCCGCAAGGGCCUUCGUUCUGGGAUGAGCCUGCGUCUCAUUAGCUAGUUGGUAAGGUAACGGCUUACCAAGGCGAUGAUGAGUAGCUGGUCUGAGAGGAUGAUCAGCCACACUGGAACUGAAACACGGUCCAGACUCCUACGGGAGGCAGCAGUGGGGAAUCUUGCGCAAUGGACGAAAGUCUGACGCAGCCACGCCGCGUGAGUGAAGAAGGCCUUCGGGUUGUAAAGCUCUGUCGGAUGGGACGAACAUCUUCAUAGUGAAUAGCUAUGAGGACUGACGGUACCAUCAAAGGAAGCACCGGCUAACUCCGUG
This 498-nucleotide ribosomal RNA is filed under the name uncultured bacterium. RNAcentral describes it as "partial 16S ribosomal RNA". It matches the Rfam family "Bacterial small subunit ribosomal RNA", at positions 29 to 507 of the family's 1533-position model. The record is from RNAcentral.